CCUACGGGAGGCAGCAGUGGGGAAUUUUGGACAAUGGGCGAAAGCCUGAUCCAGCAAUGCCGCGUGAGUGAAGAAGGCCUUCGGGUUGUAAAGCUCUUUUGUCAGGGAAGAAACGGUGAGGGCUAAUAUCCCUUGCUAAUGACGGUACCUGAAGAAUAAGCACCGGCUAACUACGUGCCAGCAGCCGCGGUAAUACGUAGGGUGCAAGCGUUAAUCGGAAUUACUGGGCGUAAAGCGUGCGCAGGCGGUUUUGUAAGUCUGUCGUGAAAUCCCCGGGCUCAACCUGGGAAUUGCGAUGGAGACUGCAAGGCUAGAAUCUGGCAGAGGGGGGUAGAAUUCCACGUGUAGCAGUGAAAUGCGUAGAGAUGUGGAGGAACACCGAUGGCGAAGGCAGCCCCCUGGGUCAAGAUUGACGCUCAUGCACGAAAGCGUGGGGAGCAAACAGGAUUAGAUACCCUGGUAGUCCACGCCCUAAACGAUGUCUACUAGUUNUCGGGUUUUAAUUAACUUGGUAACGCAGCUAACGCGUGAAGUAGACCGCCUGGGGAAGUACGGUCGCAAGAUUAAAACCUCAAAUAGAAGUUAGACGGACGUGAGACGUAGACCGAACGGACGACGACGAGGGAGGUUAGG
This 633-nucleotide ribosomal RNA is filed under the name uncultured bacterium. RNAcentral's name for it is "bacterial SSU rRNA". It matches the Rfam family "Bacterial small subunit ribosomal RNA", at positions 338 to 1416 of the family's 1533-position model. The record is from RNAcentral.